UACGUUGGGUGCAAGCGUUGUCCGGAAUUAUUGGGCGUAAAGAGCUCGUAGGCGGUCAGUCGCGUCUGCUGUGAAAACUCGGGGCUUAACUCCGGGCCUGCAGUGGGUACGGGCUGACUAGAGUGCGGUAGGGGAGACUGGAAUUCCUGGUGUAGCGGUGAAAUGCGCAGAUAUCAGGAGGAACACCGGUGGCGAAGGCGGGUCUCUGGGCCGUAACUGACGCUGAGGAGCGAAAGCGUGGGGAGCGAACAGG
This 253-nucleotide ribosomal RNA is filed under the name uncultured bacterium. RNAcentral's name for it is "partial 16S ribosomal RNA". It matches the Rfam family "Bacterial small subunit ribosomal RNA", at positions 524 to 776 of the family's 1533-position model. The record is from RNAcentral.